GACGAACGCUGGCGGCGUGCCUAAUACAUGCAAGUCGAACGAGAGCAACCGGUGCUUGCACUGGUCAAUCUAGUGGCGAACGGGUGAGUAACACGUGGGUAACCUGCCCAUCAGAGGGGGAUAACAUCCGGAAACGGAUGCUAAAACCGCAUAGGUCUUCGAACCGCAUGGUUUGAAGAGGAAAAGAGGCGCAAGCUUCUGCUGAUGGAUGGACCCGCGGUGCAUUAGCUAGUUGGUGAGGUAACGGCUCACCAAGGCCGUGAUGCAUAGCCGACCUGAGAGGGUGAUCGGCCACAUUGGGACUGAGACACGGCCCAAACUCCUACGGGAGGCAGCAGUAGGGAAUCUUCCGCAAUGGACGCAAGCCUGACGGAGCAACGCCGCGUGAGUGAAGAAGGUUUUCGGAUCGUAAAACUCUGUUGUUAGAGAAGAACAAGUGCUAGAGUAACUGUUAGCGCCUUGACGGUAUCUAACCAGAAAGCCACGGCUAACUACGUG
Molecule: ribosomal RNA, 498 nt
Filed under: uncultured bacterium
Lineage: Bacteria
Description: partial 16S ribosomal RNA
Rfam family: Bacterial small subunit ribosomal RNA
Source: RNAcentral